This 434-nucleotide ribosomal RNA is filed under the name uncultured bacterium. RNAcentral's name for it is "partial 16S ribosomal RNA". It matches the Rfam family "Bacterial small subunit ribosomal RNA", at positions 29 to 507 of the family's 1533-position model. The record is from RNAcentral.
AGCGAACGCUGGCGGCAGGCCUAACACAUGCAAGUCGAACGAACCUUUCGGGGUUAGUGGCGGACGGGUGAGUAACACGUGGGAACGUGCCUUUAGGUUCGGAAUAACUCAGGGAAACUUGUGCUAAUACCGAAUGUGCCCUUCGGGGGAAAGAUUUAUCGCCUUUAGUGCGGCCCGCGUCUGAUUAGCUAGUUGGUUGAGGUAAUGGCUCACCAAGGCGACGAUCAGUAGCUGGUCUGAGAGGAUGAUCAGCCACAUUGGGACUGAGACACGGCCCAAACUCCUACGGGAGGCAGCAGUGGGGAAUCUUGCGCAAUGGGCGAAAGCCUGACGCAGCCAUGCCGCGUGAAUGAUGAAGGUCUUAGGAUUGUAAAAUUCUUUAACCGGGGACGAUAAUGACGGUACCCGGAGAAGAAGCCCCGGCUAACUUCGUG